UCCGUAGGUGAACCUGCGGAAGGAUCAUUACAGAGUUCAUGCCCUUCGGGGUAGAUCUCCCACCCUUGUGUAUCAUUAUAGAAUGUUGCUUUGGCGGGCCGCGCCUAGUGUGCCUGGAUUCGCGUUCAGCGUGCCCGCCAGAGGACCCCUAAACUCUGAAUGUUAGUGUCGUCUGAGUACUAUUAAAUAGUUAAAACUUUCAACAACGGAUCUCUUGGUUCUGGCAUCGAUGAAGAACGCAGCGAAAUGCGAUAAGUAAUGUGAAUUGCAGAAUUCAGUGAAUCAUCGAAUCUUUGAACGCACAUUGCGCCCCCUGGUAUUCCGGGGGGCAUGCCUGUUCGAGCGUCAUUUAUACCAAUCUAGCCCGGCUAGGUGUUGGGCUCCGCCGUUUGGCGGGCCUUAAAACCGGUGGCGGUGCUCUUAGGCUCUACGCGUAGUAAUUUUCUCGCUAUAGGGUCCUGGGAGAUGCUUGCCAGCAACCCCAAAUUUUUCUAGGUUGACCUCGGAUCAGGUAGGGAUACCCGCUGAACUUAAGCAUAUCAAUAAGCGGAGGA
Molecule: ribosomal RNA, 554 nt
Filed under: fungal endophyte sp. shylsm12
Lineage: Eukaryota; Fungi
Description: eukaryotic LSU rRNA
Rfam family: 5.8S ribosomal RNA (bases 195-348)
Source: RNAcentral